GGGGACAAGCCAGGUGCUCAGACGCAACUUUACUUCAAAGCGUCUGGCACAAGCAAUGGGGGGAAAAGGGUACCGUAGGGAGGACGCGGUGCGCAGGCGCGGGGAACCAAGACCUGAGAGUUUGGAGCUGCCCCUCCCCCCUUCCUCAAAAGCCAGGGAAGUUGCCCCACUGCGCCUGCGCGACAAUGUUCGGGGGAGGGGAGAGCGGGCCAGUUCCCUGCGUUGAGAGAACCGCCCCCUCAGGUGAGCGAGCGCGCGAGUGCGCGCACGUACCACUCUCAAACUCCCUCGCGCGGCCUUUUGCGCCCGCCCUAUCGCGCGUGCGCCGGGAAGGAGGCGGCUGCGGCCGAAUUUGCGGCUUUUUUCUGAGUUUCUCUUGAGAAGUUUCUGGAAAGACGAAGCCUAAAGGAAGCUGGGGGAUGGGAAGAGCGGGGAAGCCGCAUUUGAGAGAAGAAAGCGAAAUAUCCAAAGCAGACGGCCAUCGCUCUGCCUCCCAACUCUCAAGCCACGGCCAAGGAGAGCCCGAGACCCUCACAUCCAGGGGAAAAGCAUGAGGACCGCACAGCUGCUGCUUCCUCUGGCCGUGACUAGAACCCUCGCCUCCGGGGCAGGGAAAGGGAAGGGGUGUCCGGGAACACCCGGAGCGGCCCGGGACGUUUGCGCGGUGGAGCGGGCGCCAGUGGCCCGGAGAUCUGGGCCCCGCCUGCAGUGGGCGUGGCUGCCGAGCUGCGGUUUAGGGGCGCCAGACUCCCGUUUUCCGUAGCCUCUCUUUGGUGGCUCUGUGUUUUCCCCUCCACCCGCCUCCACUUCGGUGGCGUGGAGCUAAUGCAGCGAGUGCGGAGAAGCCGCUCUACGUGGCCGCGGUGGGGCGGGGGCGCCGGCGCCUGGCUGCCAUUUUGUGGCUCGGCCGCCAUUUCGCGCCGCGCGGGUGGCGGGGCGCAGGCGCGGCACCUUUGUUCUUGGGACGCUGCCUGGCUGGGCGCGCGCUUCCCCGCGGCCUGGGAACCUGUACCAAAGAUCCCACGCCCUCCUCGCUCGUGGACAACAUAACGGCCCGGCCGCCGUGGGAAAAAGACGCCUUGCCGGGGAGGGUUAACGCAGCGUGGAAAGCCGCUCUCUGGAACCUCGGGCCUGAGGGAGGAGCAAAGCGUGGGCCCUUGUGGCGCUCUGUAAAGAGUAGGGCAGAGCAAGCAGCUGCGGGAGCCCUAAUAAAGGUGUUAAAGCCCUCGUAAUCGGGAGACCCGAUCGCUUUACAAAAGAAAAACACCCGAAGUAGCGCCUGAAGUGCUGCCAGGCGGUGGAGAACAGAGCUCACGUCUCAUUGGCUGGCUCGCUCGCUCUCUCUGCGCAAUUGCGUUCGGACGAGGGUAUGGCCCAUUAUUUACAUCUGAUCAGCAGCAGGAACAAUGGGUCGUGAAGUCUCUCGCUUUUCUUGAGAAUAUUUUCUGUUUAACUGCUUUUUCAAAUCCCUUGGAUUGAACUCAGGUCCUUGUGCUUCCGCAGCAGGUGGUGAAACCACUGAGCUAAAUCCCCGGCCCUCCAAUAUGUUAAUGUAAGUGAUCUCUGACCAUAGCACGAUAUUGGUAAGGAAUCCCAGACAUUUGAUUUGUUGGUUCAUAAGUGAAGUAAGGGAAGGGGAAGCUAUUUUUGUUUUUUAAGACAGGGUUCCUCUGUGUAGUUCAGGAUGGCCUUGAACUAUGUACCCCAGGCUGGCCACAUACUUUGAACCUCCUGCCUCAACCACUGUAGGAUUACAAGUGUACACCACUAUUCUUGGUAUAUUUGGGUUUUUUGUUGGAGGGGGGCUUGGUACCUGGAAUCAAACUCAGGACCUUGGCCUUGUGAGGCAGGCAGUGGAACCACUGAGCUAAAUCCUGGGCCCAUCAAAUAGCUUUUGAAUUGACAGAAUCUCAGGAUCUGCCCGAGGGGUGCAAAGGCCUUUGUAUCAGUCCUAGAUCUCCUUUGAGUUUGUCCCGCCAGGCAGGACUAGUGAAUUCCAAAAUAGCCAGUUCGUUGUUCCUUUAGUUUUUCUUUGUCAUCUAAAACUGAGGUGUCUGGAUUAAUUUGUACCCCUUUUUUUUUUUCUUCCACUACUGGGGAUCAAACUCGGGACCUUGCGCUCGCCAGGCAGGCAAGGUGCCACUGAGCUAAAUCCCCGGCCCUGUAGUCCUUUUUUGAGUUUCCUAAAAUAAUGAGGGUGUUAACCAAAACCUUUGAUUACACCCAGUUCCCUAGGAUUGCCAGUACACGGUGGAAAGGUGUGUGGUUGGCUCCUUUGGCUCAUGCUUUUGGAUUUAUAUUUUGCCAUUUAGUGAAAUUUGUGUGCUUUUCUGAACAACAGAAACACUAAGUUUGUCCAUUGUUCCGGUAAAGGACAGCUUUUCUUGUAAAUUCUGACGUAGGAGAGAAUUUAACACUAAACCUUUGCCUGGUAAAGAUAAAUGCUCUCUUUUAGGGACUUUAGUAGUACAGAAAGGCCCUCAAUAUUUUUGGCAACACCACUCCCACUAGUAUAAUAUAUAUAUAUUUUUUUUUCCCUUUGAGGCAAAACAUUGAGGUACUUUGUGGACUUCAGAAGUCUUAAAGUUCAAAGAAAAAAAUCCUCGCAGCCAACAGCUUUCUUCUUAGAAAAACAAACAUUUAAAAGUGAAAAAUAUUCCUGGGACACCUAACAUUUGUUUUUCUUCCCAGAGUACAAAUGGUCUUUGCUGAAGCAAAAUUCCAUCUUGACAACUGUGCAAAUUAUAUGAAAUAAGUAGAUUUAUUGUUUUGGCAUCAUAGUUUAAAUGGUCUAUUACAUAAUAUAUCACAAAGGCUUCUGCCAGGUAUGGUAGCACAUGCCUGUAAUCCCAGCACACACAAGAGGCUGAGGCAGGAGGAUUGCCAUGAAUUUGAGGCAAGGCUGGGUUACUUAGUUCAAGGCCAGCAUGGACCACAUAGCAGGAGAAACUGUCUCAAAACAAGCAAGAAAGCUAAAUACCGAAUUGUUUCUAUGGUGUGAGAAACAAAAUGUAAAUAAGGAUCAAAAUGUAUAAUUGAUAAUGUGAAAUAGGAAGAAAAGGUCUAAAGGGGUAGGGGAAAGGAAAGAAGGGAAAAGAAAAAAAAAAUGGAAACAAAGUCUUUGUAAAGAGGAAAGGGUUGAAGGGAGGGCAGA
Heterocephalus glaber (naked mole-rat) is the source of this 3154-nucleotide long non-coding RNA. NCBI's taxonomy places the organism in Eukaryota, Metazoa, Chordata, Mammalia, Rodentia, Bathyergidae. The record is from Ensembl.